CCGGCUCACAUGGCGGAUCCUUCUGCUUCCUGAGAGAAGCUUGCACAGGAUGUUGCCGUGAGCUCUAAACCCUCCGCUGGGUCCUUCAGGUCUCCAACGCUCAGACAGAAGUCUUGGACUCUUCUAUGUCUGACUCUAAGUGAGUUCUGGGCCUGUGAAGAAACCUUGCUGAUGAUUGGAAGGAGACUGUCAAGAGAGGUUACAGGACCAGGUAAUGAAAGGACUUUUACCAAGACCACAAGAGAGAUUCUGAGAGAAGCUAUUCUAGAAUGGCAAAUGCAACAGAAUAAAACAAGGAGAGAACUGUGAAGAGGUCAGUGGAUUUGACAAAGAACACCCUGCGGAUGGCUACAGAGAAAGGCAUCUUCUGAAGUUCUGGGAACAUAGACCCUGCAGUACAUUACAGCCCUUUCUGCAUUGCUUCAGCUGUAUCCUAAAACUUUCGCUGUGAACUCCUGCCCUUCUGCUACCCUGCCUCGGAGCCAGCCAACUAUGGACUGAAACA
This is a long non-coding RNA of Fukomys damarensis (Damara mole-rat), 505 nucleotides long. RefSeq lists it as uncharacterized. The record is from RefSeq and is a predicted model, not a curated record. Lineage: Eukaryota; Metazoa; Chordata; Mammalia; Rodentia; Bathyergidae. The transcript has 4 exons.